RNAcentral lists this ribosomal RNA (375 nucleotides) under uncultured bacterium. RNAcentral's name for it is "bacterial SSU rRNA". It matches the Rfam family "Bacterial small subunit ribosomal RNA", at positions 521 to 896 of the family's 1533-position model. The record is from RNAcentral.
UAAUACGAAGGGGGCUAGCGUUGCUCGGAAUUACUGGGCGUAAAGGGCGCGUAGGCGGACAGUUUAGUCGGGGGUGAAAGCCCGGGGCUCAACCUCGGAAUUGCCUUCGAUACUGGCUGUCUUGAGUGCGGGAGAGGUGUGUGGAACUCCGAGUGUAGAGGUGAAAUUCGUAGAUAUUCGGAAGAACACCAGUGGCGAAGGCGACACACUGGCCCGUUACUGACGCUGAGGCGCGAAAGCGUGGGGAGCAAACAGGAUUAGAUACCCUGGUAGUCCACGCCGUAAACGAUGAGUGCUAGUUGUCGGCAUGCAUGCAUGUCGGUGACGCAGCUAACGCAUUAAGCACUCCGCCUGGGGAGUACGGUCGCAAGAUUA